ACAAACUUGGUCAUUUAGAGGAAGUAAAAGUCGUAACAAGGUUUCCGUAGGUGAGUGAUAAACCCCCUUUAAUCUCCCAUAUGUGACCUGAUAGCUAACUUCAAUCUAGGUGAACCUGCGGAAGGAUCAUUAUCGAGAGUUGGGCCUUUGGCCCGCACCCUCAACCCUUUGUGUACCUGCUCUGUUGCUUUGGCGAGCCGUCGGGGCGCCUGGCCUUCGGGUCGGGCCGUCCCGCCGUCGACCCAUGUGGCCGGCGCGCGCUCGCCAGAGGUUAUUCAAACUCUGUGUAUUGUCAGUCGUUUGGACCCGCAGGGUCUUAUGAUUAAAUUCAUGUUAAAACUUUCAACAACGGAUCUCUUGGUUCCGGCAUCGAUGAAGAACGCAGC
Molecule: unclassified non-coding RNA, 386 nt
Filed under: uncultured fungus
Lineage: Eukaryota; Fungi
Description: partial contains small subunit ribosomal RNA, internal transcribed spacer 1, and 5.8S ribosomal RNA
Rfam family: Eukaryotic small subunit ribosomal RNA (bases 1-132)
Source: RNAcentral